Molecule: long non-coding RNA, 234 nt
Filed under: Elaeis guineensis (African oil palm)
Lineage: Eukaryota; Viridiplantae; Streptophyta; Magnoliopsida; Arecales; Arecaceae
Description: long non-coding RNA (EGUI_LNC037719)
Source: RNAcentral
AGGUACGAUCGAACAUGGUGAUAUCUCGAAGAAUCAGAGGAAAGCGACGAAGAAGGGAUAAGGAGGGAGCCUCAGUCUGGCUUGGAAGCACUCUUCAUAGAGGCUAAUCCGUCCUAAUAGAGAUUGACAAACUCGAUCGUCUGGCCCUAGAAUUUUCAACUAGAACCCCAGAGGAAUCUGGUACUGCUCAUGGAGCAGAACCACGUCUCUCUCCAUCAGCUCAGACCAGAACCC